AACGCUAGCGGCAGGCUUAACACAUGCAAGUCGAGGGGUAACAUUGUGCUUGCACAGAUGACGACCGGCGAACGGGUGCGUAACGCGUAUAGAAUCUACCUCUUACUAAGGGAUAGCCCAGAGAAAUUUGGAUUAAGACCUUAUAGUAUAUAAGACUGGCAUCAGUUUUGUAUUAAAGAUUACGGUAAGAGAUGACUAUGCGUCCUAUUAGCUAGAUGGUGUGGUAACGGCACACCAUGGCAACGAUAGGUAGGGGCCCUGAGAGGGGGAUCCCCCACACUGGUACUGAGACACGGACCAGACUCCUACGGGAGGCAGCAGUGAGGAAUAUUGGACAAUGGAGGCAACUCUGAUCCAGCCAUGCCGCGUGCAGGACGACUGCCCUAUGGGUUGUAAACUGCUUUUAUACAGGAAGAAACCCUGCUACGUGUAGCAGCUUGACGGUACUGUAAGAAUAAGGAUCGGCUAACUCCGUGCCAGCAGCCGCGGUAAUACGGAGGAUCCAAGCGUUAUCCGGAAUCAUUGGGUUUAAAGGGUCCGUAGGUGGAUAAUUAAGUCAGAGGUGAAAUCCUGCAGCUCAACUGUAGAAUUGCCUUUGAUACUGGUUAUCUUGAGUUAUUAUGAAGUAGUUAGAAUAUGUAGUGUAGCGGUGAAAUGCAUAGAUAUUACAUAGAAUACCAAUUGCGAAGGCAGAUUACUAAUAAUAUACUGACACUGAUGGACGAAAGCGUGGGGAGCGAACAGGAUUAGAUACCCUGGUAGUCCACGCCGUAAACGAUGGUCACUAGCUGUUCGAACUUCGGUUUGAGUGGCUAAGCGAAAGUGAUAAGUGAC
This 834-nucleotide ribosomal RNA is filed under the name Flavobacteriaceae bacterium #8. RNAcentral's name for it is "bacterial SSU rRNA". It matches the Rfam family "Bacterial small subunit ribosomal RNA", at positions 32 to 868 of the family's 1533-position model. Lineage: Bacteria; Pseudomonadati; Bacteroidota; Flavobacteriia; Flavobacteriales; Flavobacteriaceae. The record is from RNAcentral.